CCAGGACAGAAAGAGAAGUGGAAGAGCCCAGGUUCACAACUGCGCAAGAGGACAAGUCACCUCACAGGUCUUCAUCUGGCAGCUUCAUUGACAACAGUGAAAAGACAACUCUGGGAUACAGGCCUUAUAGGCAAAGUGAAAAAGAAAAUUAGUAAUGAGUAAAAAUGAAAUGAGUAAAAGAACAGAAAGAUUGGAUGGUAGAUGAUUGUAAAAAGAGUAUUAUGGACAUCAUCCCAGAGUUCUCUUUACUGUUGCAGAUGAAACUGUUUGGCAAGCACUAUUCAAUGAAGCUGCCUGAGAGGGGGACCGAGGCAACAAUGGUAGCACUUAUAAACUAACGUAUUUUGCAUAGUUGUUGAGUAUCAUCUACUAACAUAGCUAGAACGCAGAGUUGUUUCCACAUAUAGUUAGGUUGCAGGGGCACAGAAUGUCAGAGUUGAGCAAUUUCAGCAUGCAAACAUCCUGGCCACAAGGUGGCUUGCGCAAAGGGGUUAAGGUAAGUCACACAAGGUUUUGAACCAACUUUAUUGUUUGAGAGGAAACAAAGCUGGAUAAGAAAUUUUUAUUUAUUUAUUU
Anguilla rostrata (American eel) is the source of this 576-nucleotide long non-coding RNA. RefSeq lists it as uncharacterized. Lineage: Eukaryota; Metazoa; Chordata; Actinopteri; Anguilliformes; Anguillidae. The record is from RefSeq and is a predicted model, not a curated record. The transcript is spliced from 2 exons.